AUGGAGGGGACUCUGGUUCAGUCUGCCAUUGCUCCUACCGCAUACAGGAGUAGCUCUACGCGGUCCCGUGUGCGCACAAGGGCCACAAUGUUACGCAGUACGCCAACCAGGACCCUCACUCUCGGGGGUUUUCAAGGACUGCGGCAAACAAAUUUCCUGGAUACAAGGUCCGUUAUCAAACGUGACUUUGGCUCCAUUGUAGCAAGCCAGAUUUCACGACCACGUGGGUCAGGUUCAAGAAUGGUUGUCCGGGCCAUGUUCGAGCGCUUCACAGAGAAAGCAAUCAAGGUGAUUAUGCUUGCACAGGAGGAAGCAAGACGCCUAGGCCACAACUUUGUUGGGACAGAACAGAUUCUGCUUGGCCUUAUUGGUGAGGGAACUGGAAUUGCAGCAAAGGUUCUAAAGUCUAUGGGGAUCAGUCUUAAGGAUGCCCGUGUGGAAGUUGAAAAGAUUAUUGGAAGAGGCAGUGGGUUUGUUGCCGUUGAAAUUCCAUUUACACCUCGUGCAAAGCGUGUACUCGAACUGUCACUUGAAGAAGCUCGCCAGCUAGGGCAUAACUAUAUAGGAUCUGAGCACUUACUCUUAGGGCUACUUCGUGAGGGUGAAGGUGUGGCAGCUCGAGUUCUCGAAAGCCUUGGUGCUGAUCCAAACAACAUUCGUACCCAGGUUAUAAGAAUGGUUGGUGAAAGCACAGAAGCUGUUGGUGCUGGGGUUGGUGGGGGAAGCAGUGGCCAGAAGAUGCCUACACUUGAAGAAUACGGUACUAAUUUGACAAAGCUGGCAGAAGAGGGUAAACUAGACCCAGUUGUUGGCAGACAGGAUCAAAUUGAGCGUGUAACUCAAAUUUUGGGCAGGCGUACAAAGAACAACCCAUGCUUAAUUGGAGAGCCUGGUGUCGGCAAGACUGCUAUUGCAGAGGGGCUUGCACAACGUAUUUGUAAUGGGGAUGUUCCGGAAACAAUUGAAGGAAAGAAGGUUAUUACCCUUGACAUGGGGCUCCUUGUUGCUGGUACCAAGUACCGUGGAGAGUUUGAAGAAAGGCUGAAGAAGCUUAUGGAAGAAAUUAAGCAAAAUGAUGAUAUUAUACUCUUUAUUGAUGAAGUGCACACGUUGAUCGGAGCAGGUGCAGCUGAAGGUGCAAUUGAUGCUGCUAACAUCUUAAAACCAGCUCUUGCAAGAGGUGAACUGCAGUGCAUUGGUGCCACAACACUCGAUGAGUACAGGAAACAUAUCGAGAAAGAUCCUGCUUUGGAGCGAAGGUUUCAACCAGUCAAGGUACCAGAGCCCACUGUUGAAGAAUCAAUACAAAUCUUAAGAGGACUUCGUGAGAGAUAUGAACUUCAUCAUAAGCUGCGAUACACAGAUGAUGCUUUAGUUGCCGCGGCGCAGUUAUCAUAUCAGUAUAUCAGUGACCGCUUCCUGCCUGACAAGGCUAUUGACUUGAUUGAUGAAGCGGGGUCCCGUGUUAGGCUCAGGCAUGCACAGCUACCUGAUGAGGCCAAGGAGCUGGACAAAAAACUUCGCCAAAUAACAAAGGACAAGAAUGAGGCUGUGCGUGGCCAAGAUUUUGAGAAGGCUGGGGAAUUAAGAGACGAGGAAAUGGAGCUGAAGGCCCAAAUUACAGCCAUUAUUGACAAGAGCAAGGAAAUGGUUAAAGCAGAGACUGAAUCCGGCGAAGUUGGUCCUCUUGUCACCGAGGCAGAUAUUCAGCACAUCGUCUCAUCAUGGACUGGUAUACCUGUGGAGAAAGUCUCAUCUGAUGAGUCUGACCGCCUCCUUAAGAUGGAAGAGACACUCCAUACGCGCAUCAUUGGGCAGGAUGAAGCUGUCAAAGCUAUUAGCCGUGCUAUCCGCCGUGCUCGUGUUGGCCUCAAGAAUCCAAAUCGACCCAUUGCUAGCUUCAUAUUCUCUGGACCAACUGGUGUUGGUAAAUCAGAAUUAGCAAAGGCUCUGGCAUCCUACUACUUUGGCUCAGAGGAAGCCAUGAUCAGAUUAGAUAUGAGUGAGUUCAUGGAGAGACAUACAGUGUCCAAACUCAUCGGAUCACCUCCAGGUUAUGUUGGCUACACUGAAGGAGGUCAACUAACAGAAGCAGUCCGCCGCCGUCCAUACACAGUUGUUCUCUUUGAUGAGAUUGAAAAGGCACAUCCAGAUGUCUUCAACAUGAUGCUUCAGAUCUUAGAAGAUGGGAGGCUGACAGAUAGCAAGGGACGGACAGUUGAUUUCAAGAACACACUGUUGAUCAUGACAUCGAAUGUCGGAAGCAGUGUCAUCGAGAAGGGAGGCCGGAAGAUUGGGUUUGACCUUGACUCUGAUGAGAAAGAUACCAGUUAUAACAGGAUCAAGAGCUUGGUGACCGAGGAGUUGAAGCAGUAUUUCCGGCCUGAGUUCUUGAACAGAUUGGAUGAGAUGAUUGUGUUCCGGCAGCUGACAAAACUGGAGGUGAAAGAGAUUGCUGAUAUUAUGCUCAAGGAGGUGUUUGACAGGCUCAAGGCAAAGGAAAUCGACCUCCAGGUAACGGAGAAGUUCCGGGAUAGGGUUGUGGAUGAAGGUUACAACCCGAGCUACGGUGCCAGGCCUCUGCGACGCGCCAUUAUGAGGCUUUUGGAAGACAGUCUGGCGGAAAAGAUGCUGGCUGGCGAGGUCAAGGAAGGUGAUUCUGCUAUUGUUGAUGUGGAUUCGGAUGGUAAGGUGGUAGUUCUCAACAGCGGGGGUGGUAUUGCAGAGCCGCUGGAGCCUGCUCUGAGUGCCUAG
Molecule: ribosomal RNA, 2754 nt
Filed under: Triticum aestivum (bread wheat)
Lineage: Eukaryota; Viridiplantae; Streptophyta; Magnoliopsida; Poales; Poaceae
Description: partial small subunit ribosomal RNA
Source: RNAcentral